RNAcentral lists this ribosomal RNA (201 nucleotides) under Thaleichthys pacificus (eulachon). Its description in RNAcentral is "partial 16S ribosomal RNA". It matches the Rfam family "Bacterial large subunit ribosomal RNA", at positions 1820 to 2075 of the family's 2925-position model. Lineage: Eukaryota; Metazoa; Chordata; Actinopteri; Osmeriformes; Osmeridae. The record is from RNAcentral.
CUCUUGUAAACUAAACAUAAGAGGUCCCGCCUGCCCGGUGACCCUGGGUUAAACGGCCGCGGUAUUUUAACCGUGCGAAGGUAGCGCAAUCACUUGUCCUUUAAAUGAAGACCUGUAUGAAUGGCUAGACGAGGGCUUAGCUGUCUCCUCCCCCCGGUCAAUGAAAUUGAUCUCCCCGUGCAGAAGCGGGGAUACUUACAU